ACAACAGGAGAUACACUUGCCAGUUUGUUGACAGGAAGAACAAUGUAAAGAUAGAGGCUGACUACACACCUGUCUUCAUAGGAGGGACAGGAGACGGUCAGCCAGAAAAACCUCAUUCAGAUUCUACAGAUUGGCCUCUGAGCCCUAUCAUGUUGGCUCUAAGAAUAACAGGACUGAUCCUAAUGAUUGUAAUCACUGUUCUUGUCAUCAGACACAGAGUGAACACAAAACCACUUGAUGACGACAAUGUGCAUCAGGAUGGCGACGAACUCAAUUAUGAAACUGUAGAAGCACGUCCUGCUACUACUAGACUGCACUGAUCAACAACUUCCACACCAACGUCAGCUCACCAGAAAGUCAAAUAUCAUCAUUUUCCCACAUGGACAACAAUACAGGCAAAAAGUUAUCCUCCCAACCAUCAAUGCUUUUUUAAUGUAAUCUGUAAUCUCACAAACUAAUGUUAGUUGAUGAUGUGCUCUUUGGCCUUUGAAUUUAACGCUUGAGUAAAUCAUACUUUUCCAACCCUGAGACAAGAGAACAUGAGUUUAUGCCAGAGAUUCAAACAAGUUCACGUCAGAGGGCCAAAUUAUUAUUCAGGUUAUUAUUAAGUCUUCCCUGAGAGUUAACCGCAAAAUAUGUUGCAGUGUGCUUAUUAUUUUGUCAUUUUAAGUGCUUUAAGUCACCAGAAUGCACAAAUCAAAGGCUCUGAAAGUCUGAAAGCGUUUUGAAAUCCUCCCUGUUUUUAAAAGUAUGCACCAGCCCUGUUUCCAGCAGUAGCAGGAAGCUCUACUGUAAACUACCUGCUCAGCACCAAACAACCAACAGACACAGUUAGGGACGAGCUGUUGAACAUAAAGGAACAUUUAGCAGCUAAAGAGCCAGAAAUGUUUUUAAGGAGUUGGUGGAGAUCAACACAGACCUAAAACAAGAGUGAAUGGUGGGCUUACAUUAAACAGGUGGAUAAGAACACAACUUGCUGCUGCUUUGCUGGAUGUUGUAAAUACAGCUGUUGUAUAACAUCUGUUGUAUACGUGAUAAUAUGUCAGAGUUCUUUUUUUCAGAUUUUCUUUUUCAAAGAAGCAAUAAAUUGGUAACUUGAGCUUUAAAUUAUUUUAAAUGAUUUUAUUUCUGUUUAAACAUUUUCUCAUAUAAAUGUGUUGACAGUCUGAUGUCAGCCUGACAGUAUUAACCAUCAUAUUCAACCUGAGUGUGUCUAACUAUGUUUUAUUUGACAGUAUUGAGUUUGUGUCCACAUUAAGUUAUGAAUACAUUAGCCAGCGCAUUAGCAAAGUAACUCACUGACAUUCCUUCUAUCCAGCAAAGACCUUAUGUUGUUAGUGGUGUUCUGAUAACCUGAGGUACAGCUUAUUAUAACUACAGUCUGCCACUGUCAGUGAGACAUGGAGGCAUUAAAGAACAGUAGCACCAUCUUGUGGGUUUUCUAGUGUAACAGGUCUCAGACAGAGUACCUGUAAACAGAUAAGGUUCCUGUAAAACAGGAGAAAGAAUGAGACAGGCGACCGUUGCCUCUAUUCCGUGUAGCUUCGCUCAGCAGAAUGAGAAAGUAAACAAGAGUCCGUGCGCAAGGUGAGUCCAAAAGGAGAAGCAAAGCGCCACACUGCCUCCUGCUGGUCACACUGAAUAGCUCUGAGUGUAUCACAUAAAAAAGGCUUUUGCUCUUACCAAGAGGCAAUAAUUGACCAUUUUGGCACAUAUUAACACAUUUCUUUCACAGAAAUAAUAUUUUCAACAUAAAGCAAACAAAAUUACACAAAACGUGACCUUACAUUUCGUAAGCGUCACACGAGCAACAAACUAUCAUCAGAGUAUCCAGAGGGCAUAUUUUAUCC
Long non-coding RNA from Dicentrarchus labrax (European seabass), 1850 nucleotides. RefSeq lists it as uncharacterized. The transcript has 4 exons. The record is from RefSeq and is a predicted model, not a curated record. Lineage: Eukaryota; Metazoa; Chordata; Actinopteri; Moronidae.